RNAcentral lists this ribosomal RNA (868 nucleotides) under Tetra sp. H95. RNAcentral's name for it is "partial large subunit ribosomal RNA". It matches the Rfam family "Eukaryotic large subunit ribosomal RNA", at positions 366 to 944 of the family's 3401-position model. The record is from RNAcentral. Lineage: Eukaryota; Metazoa; Arthropoda; Arachnida; Trombidiformes; Eriophyidae.
AAAUAGAACUUUGCAGAGAGAGUUAACAGGGCGUGAAACCGUUAAUUGGCAAACGAAUCGGAGCCACGAAGUCGUUUCGCAGUUGAGUCGGGCGUCAGUUCAGCGUGCCUCGAAAGGGGUGUGUGUAUUCUGGCGCCGGCCGGCUUUGUAAGCGUACACUGCAACCAGUUAGACGACUGGCCAUGGGCACAGUCGUGCGACUCAGUAGUAGUGCGGCUGGAUUUCGGUCUUGUCGUGUUGCUUGGGGCGCGCGAGUGAACCAUGGCCAGAUACUGACUGGCGAAAUGAAAAUCGACGAAAGUCGUUAGAGACAAGGCUGCCGUCAUCAUGGGUGUCUACGCCAGCGACUGCAGGGCUUAAGCUCGGCGCUCUUCAAUUUGGACUUGCUUGCUACCAGUGGGGCAACUCCUGGUGCUUGUAUAGCUUCCAUCUAAUGGGGCGUUGACUUGGUCCUGUACGCUCGCGGGCGCAUCGGUCGGGCGCACAUGGAAGGCGGUAAGCAAUUGAAUUGGCAGUGAGUAGGUCGGCUUUCCGAACGACCCGUCUUGAAACACGGACCAAGGAGUCUAAUUGGGCAUCGAGUCGAUCGGUCUUGAAUAGGCCAGACUGGGGGGCCUCCCCCGAGCGAAGGCGCAGAGAAAUCGUGUGAUCGCAGGCCAACAACAGGCCGGCCGCGCAACAUGUGCGUGCUCGAUCGCUAUGUGCAAGAUAGUGGGGCGCAGCAAAGAGAUGCCCGAUUGGGACCCGAAAGAUGGUGAGCUUGGGCAAAUUGAAGCCAGAGGAAACUCUGGUGGAGGAUUGUAGCGAUUCUGACGUGCAAAUCGAUCGUCAGACCUGAGUAUAGGGGCGAAAGACUAAUCGAACCAUC